Papio anubis (olive baboon) is the source of this 104-nucleotide small nuclear RNA. The record is from Ensembl. NCBI's taxonomy places the organism in Eukaryota, Metazoa, Chordata, Mammalia, Primates, Cercopithecidae.
GUGCUCACUUCGGCAGUACAUAUACUACAAUUGGAACAAUACAGAGAUUGGCAUGGCCCCUAUGUAAGGAUGACAAGCAAAUUCAUGAAGCAUUCCAUAUUUUU